UAAUACUCUCGGUCUGACAUUG
This 22-nucleotide ribosomal RNA is filed under the name Boerhavia verticillata. Its description in RNAcentral is "partial 18S ribosomal RNA". The record is from RNAcentral. Lineage: Eukaryota; Viridiplantae; Streptophyta; Magnoliopsida; Caryophyllales; Nyctaginaceae.